RNAcentral lists this non-coding RNA (21 nucleotides) under Caenorhabditis elegans. The record is from RNAcentral. Lineage: Eukaryota; Metazoa; Nematoda; Chromadorea; Rhabditida; Rhabditidae.
UGGGAGACUCUUGGCUAACAC